GAUGGUAUAGCUCAGUGGUGAAGCACGUGCUUAGCAUGCCCAAGGUCCUGGGUUCGAUUCCCAGUAUCUCCA
Molecule: transfer RNA, 72 nt
Organism: Camelus ferus (Wild Bactrian camel)
Lineage: Eukaryota; Metazoa; Chordata; Mammalia; Artiodactyla; Camelidae
Rfam family: tRNA
About the family: Transfer RNA (tRNA) molecules are approximately 80 nucleotides in length. Their secondary structure includes four short double-helical elements and three loops (D, anti-codon, and T loops). Further hydrogen bonds mediate the characteristic L-shaped molecular structure. tRNAs have two regions of fundamental functional importance: the anti-codon, which is responsible for specific mRNA codon recognition, and the 3' end, to which the tRNAs corresponding amino acid is attached (by aminoacyl-tRNA synthetases). tRNAs cope with the degeneracy of the genetic code in two manners: having more than one tRNA (with a specific anti-codon) for a particular amino acid; and 'wobble' base-pairing, i.e. permitting non-standard base-pairing at the 3rd anti-codon position.
Source: Rfam